Molecule: transfer RNA, 69 nt
Filed under: Ictidomys tridecemlineatus (thirteen-lined ground squirrel)
Lineage: Eukaryota; Metazoa; Chordata; Mammalia; Rodentia; Sciuridae
Description: Spermophilus tridecemlineatus (thirteen-lined ground squirrel) tRNA
Rfam family: tRNA
About the family: Transfer RNA (tRNA) molecules are approximately 80 nucleotides in length.
Source: Rfam by way of RNAcentral
AGGGUUGUGGCUCAGUGAUAGAGCACUUGCCUAGCAUGUGAGAGGGCCUGGGUUCAAUCCUCAGCACUA